Molecule: ribosomal RNA, 1369 nt
Filed under: Paratectonatica tigrina
Lineage: Eukaryota; Metazoa; Mollusca; Gastropoda; Littorinimorpha; Naticidae
Description: 16S ribosomal RNA
Rfam family: Eukaryotic large subunit ribosomal RNA (bases 654-1369)
Source: RNAcentral
AGUAAAAUAAUUAUAUAUAAACGUUUUAAUUAAAUUAUAAAGAAACAUCUGUUAAUAUAGUAAAGGAGAUUGAAGUUUUAUAUACAUUAUAUAAUUAUUAGUACUGUGAAGGAAAUAUUUUAUUUUUGAUAUAGUAAUGCUUAAUUCAUAUACCUUUUGUAUCAUGGUUUAGCUAGAUUUAUUUUUAUAAUAUAAAUUUCUCGAAAUCUAAUGAGCUACUUUAAUUUAUUUAUUUUAGUAUAUUAAGACUAGUUGUAGCAAAAACUUUCUUAAAAAUUAAGGUAGAAAUGAAAUUUUAUCCGUAUUAGAUGAUAGCUAGUUUUUUUCUAAAGAUAUAGAAGUAUCUAAAUUUUUUUCUAUAAAUUUAAAAAUCUUUAAAUUUAUUUUAUGAAUUUUUACAGACUUUUAGGGAUAAGCUUAAAAGUUUAAUAAAAUUAAUACAUAAUUACUUUUUUAAAAUUUAGGCUUGAAACUAGCCAAAAUACUAAAAUUUGUUAUAAUUUAUUUACAUUAAAUAAAGAUAAGAUAAAUAUGUAAUAUAAUUUAGAAAAAAGUUGUUAAAAAUCAAAUUAACAAGUAUCAAUGCUGAAAUGAGUAUUUAUUUAUAAUAAUUUUUAAUAACCAUAAAAUAUUAAAAUUUCAAAUAUUAUUAAAAUAAUUAAUUUUUGUAAAGGAACUCGGCAAAUUUUUACUCUGCCUGUUUAUCAAAAACAUGGCUCCUUGAAAUUUAAAAUAUGGGGAGUCGGACCUGCCCAGUGAUAUUUAUUUAACGGCCGCGGUACCCUGACCGUGCAAAGGUAGCAUAAUCAUUUGCCCUAUAAUUGAGGGCUAGUAUGAAUGGUUUGACAAGAGUAAUACUGUCUCUACAAAAAUUUAUAGAACUUAUUUUUUAGGUGAAGAAUCCUAAAUUAAAUUAAAAGACAAGAAGACCCUAUCGAGCUUUAAAUUAAUAUAUAAAAUAAAAAAAAUUAAAAAUAUUUUUAAUUAUAAAAAAUUUUGGUUGGGGCGACUAAGGAACAAAAAAAACUUCUUAAAAAAAAUAAAAUUUAUAAAUAAUGAUCCAUUAUUUUAAUGAUUAAAAGAAUUAGUUACCGUAGGGAUAACAGCAUAAUCCAUUUUGAGAGUUCAUAUCGAAAAAAGGGUUUGUGACCUCGAUGUUGGACUAGAAUAUCCUACAAGAUGCAGAAGUCUUUAAAGGUUGGUCUGUUCGACCAUUAAAAUUCUACAUGAUCUGAGUUCAGACCGGCGUGAGCCAGGUCAGUUUCUAUCUUUAAUUUUAUUAUUUAAAUUUAGUACGAAAGGACCAAUUUAAAAUAAAAUUUAUUAUAUAUAGAUGACUUAUAAUUAUGAAAUAAAUAUUUAAACACUA